Long non-coding RNA from Panicum virgatum (switchgrass), 2162 nucleotides. RefSeq lists it as uncharacterized. The transcript is spliced from 2 exons. NCBI's taxonomy places the organism in Eukaryota, Viridiplantae, Streptophyta, Magnoliopsida, Poales, Poaceae. The record is from RefSeq and is a predicted model, not a curated record.
CCUCACGCCUGCGUCCUCCAGAAAACUACCACAAAUCCUACCUCGCGCCGACGCCCCCUCCGCUGCCCCUCCGACGCCGACGCCCCCUUCGAUGCGGCUGCCUCCGAUGCCGACUGCCCCAACGACUCCGACGGCCCCGACGCCGACUGCCCCUCCGAGGCCGACGCCCCCUUCGACGUUGCGGCCUGCUCGCCGAUCGCCCGCAGCACGCCGUAGCUGCCCCCGGAAAUCAUGUCGAUCUGAUCUGUCGCAGCUUGACUGCCUUCUUUCCCUCCGACGCUGAGAGCAUGGCUUAUGGUUACGUCGAGUGCCGGCUGGGAGAGAUGCCAUGUCACGAAGCGGUGGUAGCGGACUCCACACAAAAUUAAAUGCUCUGCAGGUUCAGCAGCAACGUGGCGACGAAGGAAUGGUGAUGGCAGGCUCAAAAACUGCCCAACUGUGCAAUCGUCCGCUUUGAGCCGGCGUGAAGGGAGUCGCCUGCUUUCUUCUCUCUCCUACCUUCUCUCUCCGCCAUGUCGUAUUUCCCCAGCUGAAUCAGCCUCAUAAUACUUGCUCUGACGCCCUCCCACCCCCACGACGCCGUGACAGCAGGAUGGAUACUUGUCUUGGUGCUCCUCUCAGGCCGAGCGCUCCCGCCCACUCGUGCACUCGCCCACACUCGGAAUUGGAGAUAUAAUCUAAAAGCGCCUAGGUGAUUUUCUGCUAAAGAUCCUUAGUUUGUUUAUAAAAUGUGAUAAUGUGAUAAUUAAUUGGUUAUUAUACAGGACUGACUAUAUGUGCAAGAUCAAAAUUUACACUAUCAAGAUUUUUAGGUUGCUCUCACAAGCUGCAGAUUGUAGAGAUAUAGUGUUUUGCAUUAUCUGUGUACUGAACUAAUCAUUAAAUUGAUCGCAUAAGUGAACCCUGUCCUACACUACAAAUGCAAGGUUUAUGAUUUGUGAAGCCUUGGUUGGCAAUAAUUUUACUUAGAUUAACCCUGUUCUGUACUGCAAGCUUGGUGAUACUUUUCUGUUUAUGAAUUAAAAUGUUACUACCAACUGUGCAUCUGUCUUCAGAGUUAGAUCAAAAGAUUUUCUCCAUACCCUGCUACAUGACUAUACAAUUAUGUUUGAGAAAAGAUAUUGCAGCCUUUGCUUUCGAUGUAGGGUUUAUUUGAUGGGGGAUGGCAUAUAUGGUCAUCGGAGAAGUAACCUUAGGGUGUACUGAGUAUCAAAUGAGAUCACAUAAUGUAUCAUUGAAAACAGAUUUGAUUGAACAUUAGAGUCUCACUCUCACGUAAGGGGCAUCUUUCAGGUGCCUCUCAGGAGAGAAGCUAAGGUUCCCUCAAAUAUUUGGUCAUCCUUCUUUCAAAUGACAUGGUAAGUAUGACUACAACUACUCUACUUUCUAUGAGGUGCCAUAUGGAGAUUGAUGAACUCUGCUUAUAUAAACAAUGAAAACAGCAUGGUUGUUUGAUAUUGUUUCAAAUUUCUUUUGUACUAACUCAAAGGAUAAUUUUAUUCAUGCCAGUUGCUGCUCUUGAUUGUGCCCAUGGCUUUCCCUCUAGACACUGCUGGCAAUUAUCCAUGGAUACCUUGUGGUACUAAAAUAAUUUAUGAUUGUGCUGUUGUUGGCGUCUUGCCUAGCUGAUGUUUGCAACUGAGGUUACUAGGCAUUACCAGCAUCAUAGUAACAUGCAUUUACUUCUUGACUAGCUGAUGUUUGUAGGUUAUAUGCAUAUGCUUGUACUUGAAGUCUACAAUGACCUUACGAUCCUGCUAAAGGAGUAUCAAUUGCUUGGCCUUCGAGUUGUGUGACAUAGCUGAUUUUUUGAAUAUAUAAUAUUACAACUAGCUUAUUUUCUCUAUGCAGUUUGAAAUGGUACAUAUUAAAGCUAUAUUUCUCAAUGCAGGUUGAAAUGAGAUAUGACUGAAUUCUUAUGUUUGGAUUUAUUCGAGAAUGAAUCAAGAAACAACGAAUUUUAGGAUUCCAGGAUACUUAUUCAGUUAUACUUCAUUUUUCCUUUCCAGUAGUAUAGACUAUAGACUUUGUACACUUGGCUACAACGUAACAUUUGUCUUCUAAAUGUACGCUUUUAUGUAUAUUAUAUACAUUUAUUUCCCUUCUACAAUCAAUGUACCUUCUUAUGAUUAUUGAAAAUUACAGUUUGUGUGAUUGUGCUA